This 994-nucleotide unclassified non-coding RNA is filed under the name Hevea brasiliensis (rubber tree). Lineage: Eukaryota; Viridiplantae; Streptophyta; Magnoliopsida; Malpighiales; Euphorbiaceae. The record is from RNAcentral.
CCGGGCGGGGGCGGCGGCGGAAGGUGGACGUGGAGAAGCCAUGGAACAAGCAGUGCGAUGCGAUUGAGGAGGAGGGGCUGCUGGACGAGGAUGAUGAGCGCGGCGGCGGGAUUCCGAGGAGGUGUUACUUUCCGCUGUUUGUGAUGGCGUUUGUCGCGUUGUUCUCGUUUUUUGCGCUUGUGCUGUGGGGGGCGAGUCGGUCACAGAAGCCGCAUAUUGUGAUGAAGAGUAUUACAUUCAAGAACUUCAACAUACAAGCUGGUAGCGAUGCCUCUGGUGUACCAACCGACAUGGCCUCCCUCAACUCAACGGUGAAGAUGACUUAUCGCAACACUGGUACUUUUUUCGGUGUCCAUGUUGCCUCUACUUCCGUCAAUCUCGCCUACUACCAACUCACAUUGGCCAGCGGAGAUAUGAAUGUAUUCUACCAACGGCGGAAGAGCCAGCGAGAUGUCACUGUGGUGGUUGUUGGUGACAGAGUCCCAUUAUACGGCUCUGGGUCGAGCUUGCAAAUGACACCGCCACCCACAGGAAACAACACUAGUAAAGCAAGCAGCAUACCGCCGCCGCAGCUGGGGCUUAGCUUCACGGUGCGGUCGACGGCCUAUGUAUUAGGCAAGCUAGUUAAGCCGAAAUUCUACACGAGGAUUCAAUGCUUGGUCGUGAUGGACCAGAAGAAGCUUAACAAGCCGCUUUCCCUAGCAAAAUCAUGCCAGUAUGACUGAGCGGAAGAGUGGCGCAUCAAAUGAUGCAAACUUGAACUUUUGGUGAAGGUAGCUGGAGAUUAUCUGGGAGCCAGGCUGGAUUGCAAGUUGGAGGACUUUUGGAGCUGUUUGGAAAUAAAGUGGAAGGUUCCUGCUCACAUGCUUUUAUUUGUUUAUUUGUGGGAAAUGUUUUUUUUAGUGGGUAGGUUUUUGUAUGCAAGCAUUUCAGGUAAGGUAGGUACAUGAGUUGUCGGUGGAUUAAUUAUGGGAGUAAAUAGUGUAUACAGUUG